UACGUAGGGGGCAAGCGUUAUCCGGAUUUACUGGGUGUAAAGGGAGCGUAGACGGCAGUGCAAGUCCGGAGUGAAAGCCCGGGGCUCAACCCCGGGACUGCAUUUGGAACUGUAUGGCUGGAGUGUCGGAGAGGCAAGUGGAAUUCCUAGUGUAGCGGUGAAAUGCGUAGAUAUUAGGAGGAACACCAGUGGCGAAGGCGGCUUGCUGGACGAUGACUGACGUUGAGGCUCGAAAGCGUGGGGAGCAAACAGG
This 253-nucleotide ribosomal RNA is filed under the name uncultured bacterium. RNAcentral describes it as "partial 16S ribosomal RNA". It matches the Rfam family "Bacterial small subunit ribosomal RNA", at positions 524 to 776 of the family's 1533-position model. The record is from RNAcentral.